Molecule: ribosomal RNA, 714 nt
Filed under: uncultured bacterium
Lineage: Bacteria
Description: bacterial SSU rRNA
Rfam family: Bacterial small subunit ribosomal RNA
Source: RNAcentral
UCAGGAGGGACACCCAUGGAGAAGGCAGAUCUCUGGCCAAUACUUACUCUGAUGAGCGAAAGCGCGGAGAGAGAUCAUUAAUUAGCUAGCGCGGGUAGUCCGCGCCUUACACGAUGGUCGGUAGUUGUGGGGACCUUCCACGUUCUCUGCGAUGCAGCUAAAGCAAUAAGAACCUCGCCUGGAGACUCCGAUAGCAAGAUUAAACUUCAAAGGAAUGGAGGGGGCCAGUCACAAGCAGCGGAGCAUGAGGCUUAAUUGGAGUCUACGCGAAGAACCUUAUCAAGGCUUGACAUAUUUUGAAAAGCAACAAAGAUGUUGUGUCCGCAAGGGCGGUAUACUUCCGGCGCAUGGUUGUCGUCAACUCGUGUCGUGAGAUGUUGGGUUAAGUCCCGCAACGAGCGCAACCCUCGUUCUGUGUAGCCAGCAUUAAAUUGGGGACUCACAGGAGACUGCCGUGGUCAACUCGGAGUAAGGUGGGGAUGAGGUCAAAUCAUCAUGCCCCUUAUGUCUUGGGUGACACCCAUGCAACAAUGGCAGGUACAAAGGGCUGCAAUACCUUAAGUUGGACCGAAUCCCAAAAAGUGUAUGUCAGUUCGGGGAGAGGUCUGCAAUUCAUCCUCAUGAAGUCCGAGUUGCUAGUAAUGCUAGAUCAGCAAUGUUACGGUGAAUACCUUCCCGGGGCUUGUACACAACGCCCGUAACGUCCCGAAAGUC